RNAcentral lists this ribosomal RNA (531 nucleotides) under Rhodosorus marinus. RNAcentral's name for it is "partial Bacterial large subunit ribosomal RNA". It matches the Rfam family "Bacterial large subunit ribosomal RNA", at positions 30 to 576 of the family's 2925-position model. The record is from RNAcentral. Lineage: Eukaryota; Rhodophyta; Stylonematophyceae; Stylonematales; Stylonemataceae.
GCCUAGGCUCUCAGAGGCGAAGAAGGACGUGAUAAGCUGCGAAAAGUUACGGGGAGAAGCACAUAUUUUAUGAUCCGUAAAUAUCCGAAUGGGGCAACCCGGUAUGCUGAAGGCAUAUCACCUCGUAAGAGGGGCAAACCCGGUGAACUGAAACAUCUAAGUAACCGGAGGAAGAGAAAACAAAAGUGAUUCCGUUAGUAGUGGCGAGCGAACGCGGAUUAGCCCAAACCUAUUUUGUUACGGCAAAAUAGGGGUUGUAGGACCACGAUAUUCGAUGCUGAUUGAAUUAGAACUGUUUGGAAAGACAGACCAAAGAGGGUGAUAGUCCCGUAUAAGUAAGAGAAGUUAUUGAUAGUGGUAUCCUGAGUAGUGCGGGACACGUGUAAUCCUGUAUGAAUCUGCCGGGACCAUCCGGUAAGGCUAAAUACUCCUGAGAGACCGAUAGUGAACUAGUACCGUGAGGGAAAGGUGAAAAGAACCCUAAGUAAGGGAGUGAAAGAGAACCUGAAACCGUACGCUUACAAGCGGUCG